CGCACAUUGCGCCCCUUGGUAUUCCAUUGGGCAUGCCUGUUCGAGCGUCAUUUCUCCCCUCAAGCAUUGCUUGGUGUUGGGCGUUUGUCUGCGCUAUCAGCGUAGACUCGCUCUAAAAUCAUUGGCAGCGGUUUGCCGGCCUCUCGCGCAGCACUUUGCGCUCCUCGAGGUUCUGGCGGGCUUGCGUCCAUUAAGACCAUCUUUAAGUUUGACCUCGAAUCAGGUAGGGAUACCCGCUGAACUUAA
RNAcentral lists this unclassified non-coding RNA (246 nucleotides) under Dictyosporium australiense. RNAcentral's name for it is "partial contains 5.8S ribosomal RNA, internal transcribed spacer 2, and large subunit ribosomal RNA". Lineage: Eukaryota; Fungi; Ascomycota; Dothideomycetes; Pleosporales; Dictyosporiaceae. The record is from RNAcentral.